CAGCCAUUACAAGUUAUACAGAUGUACUACUGUCUUAUUAAAUCUGCCUUGCAGAAAACCAACUCCAGCCAAACAGAAGCAUCAGCAAAGGGCCUUGAUGUUCAGACUUCUUGACUGGGAGCUAUGGUGCCAUAAACUUCACAGAAUCAGUAACGGUGUAUUGGAGUUGAUUAGAACUUAAACACAGAGAGUGGGACUUUCAAAAGCAUUCAGCAUUGACCAGACUCUGCUCCUGUUGCAGUCAGUAAGGAAGAAGUCCUUAGCCCAGCUACCUAUGAACACAAAAUGCAAUUAAACCUGUCUCAAACAACUACUCAGACUAAAAUGUGCUUAAAGAAGAUGUCCUUCUAUUAGAUGUGAAACAGAAUUGUACGCAGAAAAACUGGGGAUACGCUGAUGCGGUCAACUAAAACAGAAGAGUGCCUAAUAACCAUGAUGACUUGUAUAGGUUUCAGUGUAUAAGAAAGAAGGAUGAGAUUGGGUUUAUGUAUAUUUCUUUUUCUUAACCCCAAAACAGCUGGAUUUUUAUGAAAGUUUAAAUUUACAGACAAAGAUGUCUAAUCUUGAAGUCUAUACUCCAGCAAAAUUCCUACUGAUCUCAGUGGAACUAUUUAGAUGCUUAAAGUUAACAUGCACUCAAAUGCUUAGCUGAAUUGGGGCCUUAAUUUUUGCUAUUAUAUUUGCUAGUUUAUCUAUUUUUUUUCUCAAU
Mauremys reevesii (Reeves's turtle) is the source of this 709-nucleotide long non-coding RNA. RefSeq lists it as uncharacterized. The transcript is spliced from 4 exons. The record is from RefSeq and is a predicted model, not a curated record. NCBI's taxonomy places the organism in Eukaryota, Metazoa, Chordata, Testudines, Geoemydidae.